UCGAGACUUUCUCCUUUUUUCCUCUCUUUAUCCUUCUGCGCUCUCUCUCUCUCUCUCUGUCAGUCUUUCUGUCUCAGAAAAGAUUGCCACUUCCAUGUCUCUUUCGUUUUGGUUUUGUUUUGUGAUUGAUUUCUAUUUGCUGGAAGGAAGCUUGGAAUCUGGAAUUGGUACUUUCCACUAUCCUCUUUUGUUUCCAAAUUAGAAUCAUUAUAGUUACUCUUUCUCUUACUCCGUUAAUCUCAUUCUUCUUCGGCAUCUGUUUCUGGGUUUGUCCUCAGAUUGAGAGAGAAAAAUAAUUGUUGAUGGGUAUUGUUUGAGGUUUGGAUUCUGAAUAUUGAAUAGAAUUUUUUAUUUUAUUUUGGCAUAUUAACAAUCAAUGUCUUUUGCUCUGAUUCUAAUUCUAAUGGAGUGCUAAAUCUUCUGGGUUUCGUCUGUUUUUGCAGUUACUGGCUUACUACUGUAGACUCUGGAAGUACUGCUUUACAAUUUAUAGUUUGAAUGAUGAAGUGGAUCAAACUGACAUUGCAAAAGCUCUUUCCGUGUCUCCAAACAUUCAUCAUCAGCUCUUGCUGGGGGAUGUAAACGUGAAUUUGUUCAUUACAGAUUACUGUAUGCGGGGAAUGACAGGCUAUGAUCUCCUCCAAAUGAUUAAGGAUUGACAUACCAGUUGCUACCAUGUCCUCAGUUGUUAAUACAUGAUUCUAAGUAGCAAAUGGAUAAACAGAGGGAAACGAUUGGGAAUGCCGUCAGUCUUGAUCUGCUGCCUAAAGAUUUAGGAUAGGCACAUUAAGGACAGGAUGUUGAUGCUUUGCAAUUUAGUACAUAUUGAUUAUCCAGAAAUGUCGAGGACCAGUUAAUCGAAGCUUCAGAAGAGAAAUGUGAAAGUCGUUUUAAGGCUACAACUCGAUGCUACAUAUGUUCCGAUGCUCACAAACCUCGAGUAUGCGACAUGUUACUACAUAACUGGAUGCUACAAACCUCAGGACCAUUGCUAUUGCAUGAAGGCCACACAUUACCGUGAUCUUGCUUAUGCUGUGUCCUUCCUGCCUUAUUACUGGAGAGAUGCAGUUCACAGUAGCUCAAGGCGCUCUAGCUUGCCACCUAAAUCAGAUCAGAAGUUCUCAUGUUUCAGAUGGGACAUUUUUGUGAAAGGGUGCUAAGAAGCAGAGGUUGCCAUGAUUCCCUUAAAUCCUGCCCACCCUAAUACUUUAUAGGUUGGUCCUGACGUUGAGGCAUUCCCAAACUAAUACUAUGGUUGAUGCGUGUAGAGAAAAGGGAGAAGUUUAUCAAGGCGUGGAGUUGAUGACUAGCAGAAGAAGUCCACUUAUGGUUUGGUCAUGUGGGCACUCAAUUUUGCAACGACUGAAAUCCUGCCGGCCUGUGAACAUUUUCUUGAUGUUUUGGGGGUGAAGAAGAACUUUGCAGCUUUUACGGGUAAAGGCAAGUGCAGCUGCAUUCCGUUUUCUUACAUUACAAUGUAACAUGAUUAUCCUUUGGUCUAGGCAUUAUCAGUACAUAUGUGAAGUUAAUAGCAUUAGAAGUUAAUUGGUGCAUCUGGGUAUUGCAUGUGUUUUCUAAUUAGUAUUGGUGUCUCAACUGCUAAGACGGUGUCGUAUUUGUAAGGAAACUCUGGUGGCCAUUUCACUUAAUAAUAUAUUUUGUAAUUACUU
This is an RNA transcript of Fragaria vesca subsp. vesca, 1670 nucleotides long. RefSeq lists it as uncharacterized. The transcript is spliced from 7 exons. The record is from RefSeq and is a predicted model, not a curated record. Lineage: Eukaryota; Viridiplantae; Streptophyta; Magnoliopsida; Rosales; Rosaceae.